RNAcentral lists this ribosomal RNA (645 nucleotides) under Balanophyllia regia. Its description in RNAcentral is "eukaryotic LSU rRNA". The stretch from base 1 to 291 matches the Rfam family "Eukaryotic large subunit ribosomal RNA", at positions 65 to 358 of the family's 3401-position model. The record is from RNAcentral. Lineage: Eukaryota; Metazoa; Cnidaria; Anthozoa; Scleractinia; Dendrophylliidae.
CUAACAAGGAUUCCCCCAGUAACGGCGAGUGAAGCGGGAAUAGCUCAAAUUUGAAAUCUCCGACGCUUGCGUGCGAGUUGUAGUUGCGAGAAGCACUUUCUCGGCGGAUCGGGCGUGCCUAAGUUGCUUGGAACAGUACGUCGCAGAGGGUGACAACCCCGUUUGUGGCACGGCCGACCGCUCACGAUGUGCUUUCGAAGAGUCGGGUUGUUCGGGAAUGCAGCCCAAAACGGGUGGUAACUCCAUCUAAAGCUAAAUAUUGACGUGAGACCGAUAGCGAAGGAAACGAAUGGACUCAGCAAUGCGCCGUUUUGAGAUUCAGCCGGCCGGCGGGAUCGGCUCGGGGUGUGCGGAUCUGAAUAGACCGCUAUCUCGGGCUCGUUUCUCUCGGCCGUCGCACUUCUCUUGGGCGCACGUCAACGUCGGUUGGGANNGGGUCUGAAAGGUUCCGGGAAGGUAGGUCCGCGCGUUCCUUGGCGUUCGCGCGUUCUGUUACAGCCCGGUUCUCUUGCGGCUCGGGCCCGACCGAGGCGGUUGCAGCGCAUGCCUCUUUUGGCUAGGGUCCCGUCCGUCCGGCCGGUCGUCGACCGCGGUGGACUGCUUGCAGUGCUCCGCGACNNCUGCCGGUCGUUUGGGCGGUGAUCU